RNAcentral lists this transfer RNA (73 nucleotides) under Candidatus Contendobacter odensis Run_B_J11. It matches the Rfam family "tRNA". Rfam says of the family: Transfer RNA (tRNA) molecules are approximately 80 nucleotides in length. The record is from Rfam by way of RNAcentral. Lineage: Bacteria; Pseudomonadati; Pseudomonadota; Gammaproteobacteria; Candidatus Competibacteraceae.
GGGGCCAUAGCUCAGCUGGGAGAGCACCUGCAUGGCAUGCAGGGGGUCGGCGGUUCGAUCCCGCCUGGCUCCA